Molecule: long non-coding RNA, 731 nt
Filed under: Lathyrus oleraceus (garden pea)
Lineage: Eukaryota; Viridiplantae; Streptophyta; Magnoliopsida; Fabales; Fabaceae
Description: Pisum sativum (pea) long non-coding RNA (PSAT_LNC033096)
Source: RNAcentral
AAAAUUAAAAAGAAAGUACCAUGAUAUCUUCUUUCUACUCAGUACCAUACAUUACUAUAACUUUCAUUUUCAACUAACCUCGUAUAACUCCACACACACAAGUCAAACACCAUCGUGAAUACUAUAAAAAGAAAGUACCAUGAUAUCUUCUUUCUACUCAGUACCAUACAUUACUAUAACUUUCAUUUUCAACUAACCUCGUAUAACUCCACACACACAAGUCAAACACCAUCGUGAAUACUCUCUUCUCUUAAUACUUUGGGACUGAGGAAGAAGAAUAGAAAAACAAAAAAAGAGAACACAAAUAUUUCCUUCUAUUUUUCUCUCUUUAUUUAAAACCUUAACAACAACUCAAAUACAACCUUGUCAAACCAAGCCUUCACAUCUCCAUCACCUUUCAAAAAAAAAUCAGAAAGUCUACUCUUCCAUCAUCAUAACAACAACCACAUAAAUUCACCCUUACAUUCAACCAUGGAAAGAAUAAAAAAUAUAAACAACCAAAAAAUAUGCAAACCACACUUCAUAUCUCAUUCUUCAAACAAAAAAAAUUGAAAACACUAUUGUUUCUCCAUCGCAAAAUCGAGCUACAAGCUUCACUCAAUAUCACCUUCGUCGUUCCAGAUCCAAACACCGCCGCUGAGAUCGACCGCCACAACGUCUGACCAUCUUUGUACAAACCAUUGUUCACCGCCGUAACGACAAAACUCCACCACUAUUUCCGUCAGUUUUUU